GGACCCCUAGCUCAGUGGUAGAGCGUGAGAUUCCAGUUUGAGAGAUUCCUCAAGGUCAUCCGUUCAAUCCGGGUGGGGUUCA
Molecule: transfer RNA, 82 nt
Organism: Hebeloma cylindrosporum
Lineage: Eukaryota; Fungi; Basidiomycota; Agaricomycetes; Agaricales; Hymenogastraceae
Rfam family: tRNA
About the family: Transfer RNA (tRNA) molecules are approximately 80 nucleotides in length. Their secondary structure includes four short double-helical elements and three loops (D, anti-codon, and T loops).
Source: Rfam